GCCUUGGUAGCUCAAUUGGCUAGAGCGUGGGACUUUUACUUCGGAUGCUUCCUUUAGGCGUACGAAAUUGCAAUAUCCCAAGGUUGCGGGUUCGACCCCCGCCUGAGGCG
This is a non-coding RNA of Hypomontagnella submonticulosa, 110 nucleotides long. The record is from the annotation of a GenBank genome assembly. Lineage: Eukaryota; Fungi; Ascomycota; Sordariomycetes; Xylariales; Hypoxylaceae.